This is a long non-coding RNA of Astatotilapia calliptera (eastern happy), 1406 nucleotides long. The record is from Ensembl. Lineage: Eukaryota; Metazoa; Chordata; Actinopteri; Cichliformes; Cichlidae.
AGAACAUGCAGCAAUUAUAUAAGUGAAUAUCUUAAAUCCCAUCAGUAAUGGUAAUGCUGACUGUUUACUAUAAUUUAAAAAGUGUCAGAUAAAACCCAUAAGCAACAAUUAUAAUUUAUUCAUGUUUAAUGUAUUUACUGUUGCUGUAUAGGAUUCCCCACGGAGUGUAGCAAAGGAUUAAAAUGUGAAACUGGAUUAUAAAAAUCUAUAAAGAAUAUAAAGUCCCAUGGCAUCUUCUUAAAAAGGCCAAAGUAGAGUACAGUAGGUGAGAGGCCUCAUAUUUCCAUUACAGCUCUCUGAGCUUAAACUGAUGAUUAUUUUACAAAUAAAGUAAAAGAAUAAAUAUUUAAGUAAUUUAAAUCUAAAAAAAAAAACUUAAUUACUAAUUAAUUCAGUUCAUUUCCGUUCAUACAAUCAUGUAUAUCAUAUAUGUUAUCAUAUAAUUUAGUGAAUGCACUUGUACAACUCUUUAUGUUCAAGACUUUCUUCAGAGACUUUCCAGUCCCCUCGUGUUGUCACAGGGUUUUUUUCACUGGUCUUGUUUCUCCAGAUGUUCCCACCAUCCUGUCUCCAUGUCUCUCUAUCUCUCCCUCUCUCCCUUUUUUGCAUCUGCCUACUCUCUAAAUUUCCAUUUUCAGGGAUGAGAAACUAAACUUUCCAUGUCUUGCUGCCUGUUUCCUCAGUCAAAUGCAAGCAUAACUGUUGCCCAAAUCCCACCCCCUCCCUUCCCGCUAUAACUGAUGAGUAAGAGAAAUGUUCUCCCUGCAGACAAAUAUGUACCUAACUGUAGCAUUUCCUUACUUAGAAACAGUGCAAAGAUGGUGUGUGACCAAAAAAAAAAAAAAAAACCAACCAAAAAACAGGUAGAAAUAUUACCAAGAGCUAAAAAUCACAUUAGAUACUUUUUUCAUACCUCAGGUUUCAUUUGAUAUUUUAGUGAUAUGGUGACAAGCUGAAAAACUAAAGCUACCAAGGUCAAACUGGACCAUCAGCCUGCUCCAAAUAGUAUUGCUCUAUACCCAGAUCCACAGAUCCACAUACAAAUAGAUCUCUUAAAACAAAUAAAUAAUACACUAUGACAUUGCAAUCUUUCCACAGAUGUGCUGCUUAUUGAGCCACUUUCAAAAGCAGACUUAAACACAGGGACAUACAGUCAAGUUUACCAUUUCUACAACAAUGACAGCCUGGCCUAUGUGGCAUAACACUGAAAGACUACAAGAGCUGAAGUACGUUACAACAUGUCACUUAUAGUGCAACUGCUUCCAAAUAAUUCCUUCAUGCUCUCUCUGCAGUGACAUGCUGAUGCUCUCUCAAAUUCAACAAACACAUUAUUUUAAAAGGAUUUUUUACUUACAAUGAAACAGCAGAGAGGAAAAUGUGUUGGCGGUAAUUGGUACAGCUUCCCC